GAAUUCAAAUGCCUACUAAGCGGGGGUGACUGCAGAUUUGCGAUAUGUGCCUAUGGUACAAAACCAAUUGGAAGAUGCUCAACAUUUAGAGCAUGUUGCAAAAGUAUGUGGUAUUGAAACCCUGAAAUGUCCCAGCAGGACGUCCCCCUCGCUUCUGCCUUCUGGAACCAUCUCCUGAGGUCCUCUCCCCUCCCUGCCUCUGCCAUGCCCAGCUGCUGGCACAGCAGCAGUGGCAGCUGCUCCUGCUGGGUGCUGCUGGGCUGGAGACAUCUCGUCCCAGCCGUGGGCUCUGUGGGGCAGAGGCUGCUUUUCCCAGCUUGAAUAAAGAUGAGCAGUUUGGCAUUGCA
This is a long non-coding RNA of Chiroxiphia lanceolata (lance-tailed manakin), 347 nucleotides long. RefSeq lists it as uncharacterized. The transcript has 2 exons. Lineage: Eukaryota; Metazoa; Chordata; Aves; Passeriformes; Pipridae. The record is from RefSeq and is a predicted model, not a curated record.